This 72-nucleotide transfer RNA is filed under the name Candidatus Kaiserbacteria bacterium RIFCSPHIGHO2_02_FULL_49_34. RNAcentral describes it as "tRNA-Arg". It matches the Rfam family "tRNA". Rfam says of the family: Transfer RNA (tRNA) molecules are approximately 80 nucleotides in length. The record is from RNAcentral. Lineage: Bacteria; Candidatus Kaiseribacteriota.
GCGCUCAUGGUGAAAUGGAUAUCAUCCUUGACUUCGGAUCAAGUGUUCUGGGUUCGAGUCCUGGUGGGCGCA